CUUACAAUUAGUCAGAGCCCGUUAAUGGGUGAUGGCGUACAUCUUGCAGUAUGGACCGGCGAGUUACUUUAGCAUGCAAGGUUAAGCAGAUAAAAGCGGAGCCGUAGAGAAAUCGAGUCUUAAUAGGGCGAUUAGUAUGCUUGAGUACACCCGAAACCAGGUGACCUAUUCAUGAGCAGACUGAAACUUAGCUAACCCUAAGUGGAGGGUCGAACCGUAGUACACUGAAACGUGCCCGGAUGACUUGUGAAUAGCGGAGAAAUUCCAAUCGAACUUGGAGAUAGCUGGUUCUCCUCGAAAUAGCUUUAGGGCUAGCGUGUAGUGUUAAAUAAUGGUGGUAAAGCACUGAAUAUGGAAUGGCCUCGCCUAGGGGUACUGACUAUAAUCAAACUCUGAAUACCGUUAUGAAUUGCUAUGCAGUCGGAACCGGGGUGCUAACGUCCCGGCUCGCGAGGGAAACAACCCAGAUCGUCAGCUAAGGUCCCAAAAUCGUGUUAAGUCAGAAAGGUUGUGAGGUUUCAUAAACAACUAGGAAGUUGGCUUAGAAGCAGCCAUCUUUUAAAGAGUGCGUAAUAGCUCACUAGUCAAGAGACCUUGCGCCGACAAUGUAACGGGAGUAAAACACGAUACCGAAGCUACGGGUACAUUUAUGUACGUUAGAGGAGCGUUCUUAGGGCAAUGAAGCUAGACUGUAAAGACUAGUGGAGCGCUAAGAAGUGAGAAUGCCGGUAUGAGUAACGAUUCGUAGUGAGAAUCUACGACGCCUAUUGGGGAAGGUUUCCUGGGCAAGGUUCGUCCACCCAGGGUUAGUCAGGACCUAAGGCGAGGCUGAAAAGCGCAGUCGAUGGACAACAGGUUAAUAUUCCUGUACUUUCUUUAAUUGUGAUGGAGUGACGGAGAAGGAUAAGCAUACCUAUUAUUGGAUUUAGGGGUAAGUAGUUACUGGUGAUUGUAGGCAAAUCCGCAAUCUAUAACUGGGAGCUAUGAUGCAUAGGACUUUUGUCUGAAUUUGCCAAUUCCAUGCUUCCUAGAAAAGUUUCUAAACUUAAUUUUAUUGAAACCUGUACCAAGAACGGACACACGUCCCCAAGAUGAGUAUUCUAAGGCGAGCGAGAAAACUAGUGUUAAGGAACUCUGCAAAAUGACCCCGUAAGUUCGCAAGAAGGGGCGCCUAUGGUAACACAUAGGCCACAGUAAAUUAUGAGGGGCAACUGUUUAUCAAAAACACAACUCUCUGCUAAACCGCAAGGUGAUGUAUAGGGGGUGAAGCCUGCCCAGUGCCCGAAGGUUAAGUGGAUGCGUUAGCUUAUGCGAAGCGUUGAAAUGAAGCCCGGGUGAACGGCGGCCGUAACUAUAACGGUCCUAAGGUAGCGAAAUUCCUUGUCGGCUAAAUACUGACCUGCACGAAAGGCAUAAUGAUCUCUCAACUGUCUCAACACUAGACUCGGUGAAAUUAUGGUCCCAGUGAAAACGCUGGGUUCCCGCAUCAAGACGAAAAGACCCCAUGGAGCUUUACUAUAACUUCGUAUUGGAAUUUGGCCUAACAUGUGUAGGAUAGGUGGGAGACUUUGAAGCUGAGACGCCAGUAGCAGUGGAGUCAACCUUGAAAUACCACCCUUGUUAUGUUGAAUUUCUAACUUACCAUCAUAAUCAGGUGGGAGGACAGUGCGUGGUGGGUAGUUUGACUGGGGCGGUCGCCUCCUAAAGAGUAACGGAGGCGUUCAAAGGUACACUCAGUACGGUCAGAAACCGUAUGUAGAGCGCAAAGGCAGAAGUGUGCUUGACUGUGAGACAUACAAGUCGAGCAGGUGCGAAAGCAGGACUUAGUGAUCCGGCUGUACAUUGUGGAAUGGCAGUCGCUCAACGGAUAAAAGUUACCCUGGGGAUAACAGGCUAAUCUUGCCCAAGAGAUCACAUCGACGGCAAGGUUUGGCACCUCGAUGUCGGCUCAUCGCAUCCUGGAGCUGGAGUCGGUUCCAAGGGUUGGGCUGUUCGCCCAUUAAAGCGGUACGCGAGCUGGGUUCAAAACGUCGUGAGACAGUUUGGUCCCUAUCUGAUGUGGGCGUUGGAAUAUUGAUGAGAGCCGCUCUUAGUACGAGAGGACCGGAGUGGACGUACCGCUGGUGUUCCAGUUGUUCCGCCAGGAGCAUGGCUGGGUAGCUAAGUACGGAAAGGAUAACCGCUGAAAGCAUCUAAGUGGGAAGCCUCCUCAGAGAUUAGUAUUCCCUUGAAAUUCCUUAUAGACUAUGAGGUUGAUAGGCUGGAUGUGUAAGC
This 2274-nucleotide ribosomal RNA is filed under the name Acinetobacter baumannii. RNAcentral describes it as "partial 23S ribosomal RNA". It matches the Rfam family "Bacterial large subunit ribosomal RNA", at positions 563 to 2874 of the family's 2925-position model. Lineage: Bacteria; Pseudomonadati; Pseudomonadota; Gammaproteobacteria; Moraxellales; Moraxellaceae. The record is from RNAcentral.